GUCGCACCUACCGAUUGAAAGGUCCGGUGAAGCCUUGGGAUUGUGGUUAGUUUGCUUCACUGCGAGUUGAUUACAAGAACUUGUCUAAACCUUAUCAUUUAGAGGAAAGUG
RNAcentral lists this ribosomal RNA (111 nucleotides) under uncultured eukaryote. RNAcentral describes it as "partial small subunit ribosomal RNA". The record is from RNAcentral.